GUGAUAAAACCCCACACCUGAGGAUUGUGCAGGUGGUUAAGUGGGGACAGUAUCAGUGUUGUUAGAGUGGGACGGGCCCGGCGAUCCAACAAUUCCAACAUGGUAUCAGAGCCCACGGUUGCGGGCCCGUGCAAGCCAACGAGCUUGUGUGCAAGCCAAUGAGCUUGUCACCACCCAGAAGGAAACAAGUCUAAACUCUUAAUAUAGAAACGACCGCUGAGUUCCAAUUGAAAACAAGUGGGCCCAACGUGAGCCGACCUCUGAGUUUCAAUUACUGAUGUGGAUCUCCACGUGUGAACCACUAAAUGAGGUUACACGUGAGGGGGAGUGUUAAACUGUCCCACAUCGGUGGGGUGAAGAAAACUAAAGAAGUUUAAAUAGUAUUACCCCACUCUAACUAAUACCGAGGCCUUUUGUGAUAAAACCCCACACCUGAGGAUUGUGCAGGUGGUUAGGUUAAGUGGGGACAGUAUCGGUGUGUUGUUAGAGUGGGACGGGCCCGGCGAUCCAACAAUUCCAACAUGGUAUCAGAGUCCACGGUUGCGGGCCCGUGCAAGCCAACGAGCUUGUGUGCAAGCCAAUGAGCUUGUCACCACCCGGAAGGAAACAAGUCUAAACUCUUAAUAUAGAAACGACCGCUGAGUUCCAAUUGAAAACAAGUGGGCCCAACGUGAGCCGACCUCUGAGUUUCAAUUACUGAUGUGGAUCUCCACGUGUGAACCACUAAAUGAGGUUACACGUGAGGGGGAGUGUUAAACUGUCCCACAUCAGUGGGGUGAAGAAAACUAAAGAAGUUUAAAUAGUAUUACCCCACUCUAACUAAUACCGAGGCCUUUUGUGAUAAAACCCCACACCUGAGGAUUGUGCAGGUGGUUAAGUGGGGACAGUAUCGGUGUUGUUAGAGUGGGACGGGCCCGGCGAUCCAACAAUUCCAACAGUU
RNAcentral lists this long non-coding RNA (940 nucleotides) under Malus domestica (apple). Its description in RNAcentral is "long non-coding RNA (MDOM_LNC002668)". The record is from RNAcentral. Lineage: Eukaryota; Viridiplantae; Streptophyta; Magnoliopsida; Rosales; Rosaceae.